UACGUAGGGGGCUAGCGUUGUCCGGAAUCAUUGGGCGUAAAGAGCGUGUAGGCGGCUCGAUAAGUCCGCUGUGAAAGUCCAGGGCUCAACCCUGGGAUGCCGGUGGAUACUGUCGGGCUCGAGUCCGGAAGAGGCGAGUGGAAUUCCUGGUGUAGCGGUGAAAUGCGCAGAUAUCAGGAGGAACACCAAUGGCGAAGGCAGCUCGCUGGGACGUGACUGACGCUGAGACGCGAGAGCGUGGGGAGCAAACAGG
RNAcentral lists this ribosomal RNA (253 nucleotides) under uncultured bacterium. Its description in RNAcentral is "partial 16S ribosomal RNA". It matches the Rfam family "Bacterial small subunit ribosomal RNA", at positions 524 to 776 of the family's 1533-position model. The record is from RNAcentral.